Molecule: non-coding RNA, 31 nt
Filed under: Homo sapiens (human)
Lineage: Eukaryota; Metazoa; Chordata; Mammalia; Primates; Hominidae
Source: RNAcentral
GNGCAGGCACAGCGGUGCGACGAGAUGCUGC